GGACCCGCACAAGCGGUGGAACAUGUGGUUUAAUUCGACGACAAACGAGUAACCUCACCAAGGUUUGACAUGUAGCUUCAAAUCCCAUGAAAGUGGGACUUCUUCGAGAGUGCUACACAGGUGCUGCAUGGUUGUCGUCAGCUCGUGCCGUGAGGUGUACCCUUAAGUGGGGUAACGAGCGCAACCCCUAUGCUGUGUUAUAUUUUCACAGCAGACUGCCUCGGCUAACGGGGAGGAAGGUGGGGAUGACGUCAAAUCAGCAUGGCUCUUACACCUUGGGCCACACACGUGUUACAAUGGCUAUUACAACGGGAAGCCAAAGCGCAAGCUGGAGCAAAUCCCAUCAAAAAUAGCCUCAGUUCGGAUUGUGGGCUGAAACUCGCCCGCAUGAAGCCGGAAUCGCUAGUAAACGCGUAUCAUCUACGACGCGUUGAAUACGUUCUCGGGUCUU
This 451-nucleotide ribosomal RNA is filed under the name uncultured bacterium. Its description in RNAcentral is "bacterial SSU rRNA". It matches the Rfam family "Bacterial small subunit ribosomal RNA", at positions 917 to 1382 of the family's 1533-position model. The record is from RNAcentral.